Molecule: ribosomal RNA, 329 nt
Filed under: Proteus mirabilis
Lineage: Bacteria; Pseudomonadati; Pseudomonadota; Gammaproteobacteria; Enterobacterales; Morganellaceae
Description: partial 23S ribosomal RNA
Rfam family: Bacterial large subunit ribosomal RNA
Source: RNAcentral
AAGGUGGUGAAGCAAUUGAUGCCCCGCUUCCAGGAAAAGCCUCUAAGCUUCAGGUUACCAACAAUCGUACCCCAAACCGACACAGGUGGUCAGGUAGAGAAUACUCAGGCGCUUGAGAGAACUCGGGUGAAGGAACUAGGCAAAAUGGUGCCGUAACUUCGGGAGAAGGCACGCUGGCGGUAGGUAAAGUCCCUCGCGGACGGCGCUGAAGCCAGUCGAAGAUACCAGCUGGCUGCAACUGUUUAUUAAAAACACAGCACUGUGCAAACACGAAAGUGGACGUAUACGGUGUGACGCCUGCCCGGUGCUGGAAGGUUAAUUGAUGGGGU